RNAcentral lists this ribosomal RNA (497 nucleotides) under uncultured bacterium. Its description in RNAcentral is "partial 16S ribosomal RNA". It matches the Rfam family "Bacterial small subunit ribosomal RNA", at positions 28 to 507 of the family's 1533-position model. The record is from RNAcentral.
GAUGAACGCUGGCGGCGUGCCUAAUACAUGCAAGUAGAACGCUGAAGGAAGGAGCUUGCUCUUUCCGGAUGAGUUGCGAACGGGUGAGUAACGCGUAGGUAACCUGCCUGGUAGCGGGGGAUAACUAUUGGAAACGAUAGCUAAUACCGCAUAACAGUAGAUGUUGCAUGAUAUCUAAUUAAAAGGUGCAAUUGCACCACUACCAGAUGGACCUGCGUUGUAUUAGCUAGUUGGUGAGGUAACGGCUCACCAAGGCGACGAUACAUAGCCGACCUGAGAGGGUGAUCGGCCACACUUGGACUGAGACACGGCCCAGACUCCUACGGGAGGCAGCAGUAGGGAAUCUUCGGCAAUGGACGGAAGUCUGACCGAGCAACGCCGCGUGAGUGAAGAAGGUUUUCGGAUCGUAAAGCUCUGUUGUAAGGGAAGAACGAGUGUGAGAGUGGAAAGUUCACACUGUGACGGUAUCUUACCAGAAAGGGACGGCUAACUACGUG